Linepithema humile (Argentine ant) is the source of this 457-nucleotide non-coding RNA. The record is from RefSeq and is a predicted model, not a curated record. Lineage: Eukaryota; Metazoa; Arthropoda; Insecta; Hymenoptera; Formicidae.
GCUGCCAGUUCGUGUUCGUGCGUGAUUGCAUCCAGCCAUUAGCCAUUGUACUUUCUAGCCCUAAGCAUUGUCCGAUUGUCCGGAUCCCGAAGUGCAUGAAUUUUUAUAUAUUUCUCUGUGAGAGAGAGAGAACAUCCGUAUAACAUUCAUCGAGAUUAUCGUCUUUGUUCAAUUUGCCUAAAUCGUUAUUGUUUGUUCGAUCACGCAAUCUUUUGGUCUCACAAGAUAGUGAUAUAUAAUAAAAGAAAGAGGAUUCUUCUAAUAACCUUGAGCAGAUCAUCUCUAACUAUUAACUUCGUUCUGUUUAUUUCCUCAUAUAACGUUUUCUAAAGCAACAUUUCAAACAGUUGAGUGAGUCUACAAAAGAAAUUUGCCAAGGACAAGUUACUACUUUGAAAGGAAAUAUCCUUAUAUGAAUCCUAUCUCAGUCCAGUUUUAUUUCUCCUUUCACACAAAC